Molecule: ribosomal RNA, 253 nt
Filed under: uncultured bacterium
Lineage: Bacteria
Description: partial 16S ribosomal RNA
Rfam family: Bacterial small subunit ribosomal RNA
Source: RNAcentral
UACGUAGGGUGCGAGCGUUGUCCGGAAUUAUUGGGCGUAAAGGGCUCGUAGGCGGUUUGUCGCGUCGGGAGUGAAAACCCAGGGCUUAACCCUGGGCUGGCUUUCGAUACGGGCAGACUAGAGGUAUGCAGGGGAGAACGGAAUUCCUGGUGUAGCGGUGAAAUGCGCAGAUAUCAGGAGGAACACCGGUGGCGAAGGCGGUUCUCUGGGCAUUACCUGACGCUGAGGAGCGAAAGCUAGGGGAGCGAACAGG